RNAcentral lists this ribosomal RNA (621 nucleotides) under uncultured bacterium. RNAcentral describes it as "bacterial SSU rRNA". The stretch from base 1 to 519 matches the Rfam family "Bacterial small subunit ribosomal RNA", at positions 338 to 873 of the family's 1533-position model. The record is from RNAcentral.
CCUACGGGAGGCAGCAGUGGGGAAUCUUGCGCAAUGGGCGAAAGCCUGACGCAGCCAUGCCGCGUGAAUGAUGAAGGUCUUAGGAUUGUAAAAUUCUUUCACCGGGGACGAUAAUGACGGUACCCGGAGAAGAAGCCCCGGCUAACUUCGUGCCAGCAGCCGCGGUAAUACGAAGGGGGGCUAGCGUUGCUCGGAAUUACUGGGCGUAAAGGGAGCGUAGGCGGAUAGUUUAGUCAGAGGUGAAAGCCCAGGGCUCAACCUUGGAAUUGCCUUUGAUACUGGCUAUCUUGAGUGUGGGAGAGGUUAGCGGAACUCCGAGUGUAGAGGUGAAAUUCGUAGAUAUUCGGAAGAACACCAGUGGCGAAGGCGGCUAACUGGCCCAUUACUGACGCUGAGGCUCGAAAGCGUGGGGAGCAAACAGGAUUAGAUACCCUGGUAGUCCACGCCGUAAACGAUGAGUGCUAGUUGUCGGCAUGCAUGCAUGUCGGUGACGCGAGCUACGACAUAAGACACUCCGCCGUCGGGAGGUACGGUCGGCGAAGAAGUUAAACGUAACGUAAAGUAGUUAAGUUAGUACGGUUACGUUGAGACGUUGCCGACGGACGACGACGAGGGAGGAGG